AGGUGGGUUGUGCUUCACCGAAGUGAUUAGGUCACUUUCAAGUGAAAGUGAAGUAUGAAUGUGUUUGAAGUAUACAAUUUUUUUUAAAAAAAGGGUAAAGUAGUUCUAAUCAAAACUGAUUAAAUUCGGACUCAUACAAUCCAAUGGGUCUCAUGUUGACCGAGAAAUUUUGGGGCCAAUAAUUAUAAUUUAAAUUCACAAUAUGCCCAUUCAUUAAUGCGAGUUGGUGGGCAUCAUGAAAGUCCUUUAAAAUUUUAGACCUAUACAAUAAUUCGGGCCUCAUUCCAGCCCAUUAAAUAUUAUCAUUUGUGCCCAAAACUUUUUAUUGAAGUGGGCCUGAUCAACGACGGCCCAUAUCCACACCCUAUAAAAUAUCUGUUCGAAAUUCAAUUUCAAACCACAACCCAUUCAAAAUUCGAUUUCGUAUUUCGAAUCCCCAACCAAUUCCCAAAAUAUCCUCCAACCAUCCAACAACCUAUUCAAAAUUCGAUUUUGAAUUUCGAAUCCCCAACCAACUCCCAAAAUAUCUUCCAACUACCCAACAAUCGAUUCAAAAUUUGAUUUCAAAUUUCGAAUCCCCAACCAAUUCCCAAAAUAUCCUCCAGCCAUCUAAUAACCCAUUCAAAAUUCGAUUUCGAAUUUCGAAUCCCCAACCAACUCUAAAAAUAUCUUCCAAUCAUGCAACAACCCAUUCAAAAUUCGAUUUCGAAUUUCGAAUCCCCAAGCAACUCCAAAAAUAUCUUCCAACCAUCCAAUAACAUAUUCAAAAUUCGAUUUUGAAUUUCGAAUCCCCAACCAACUCCAAAAAUAUCCAACAACCGAUUCAAAAUUCGAUGUUGAAUUUCGAAUCCCCAACCAAUUUCCAAAAUAUCCUCUAACCAUCCAACAACCGAUUCAAAAUUCGAUUUCCCCAACCAACCCCCGAAAUAUCUUCCAACCAACCAUAAUAACCGAUUCAAAAUUCGAUUUCGAAUUUCGAAUUCCCAACCAACCCCCAAAAUAUCUUCCAACCAAUCACAACAACCGAUUCAAAAUUCGAUUUCGAAGUUCGAAUUCCCAACCAACCCCAAAAUAUCUUCCAACUAACCACAACAACCGAUUCAAAAUUCGAUUUCGAAUUUCGAAUUCUUAACUGACUCCUCAAAAUAUCUCUCGCCACCUCUCCUAUUAUAAAUAUGAGAAUCGAAAUCAAACGUCGGACGAUAAAAGAAGAAGGGAAAAAAAAUAGAUAGAUUGCUAUACACGUUCUGACGUACAAAAAAUUCAAAGGAAGAGAGAUCGCCGAGCCGCCGAA
RNAcentral lists this long non-coding RNA (1294 nucleotides) under Ananas comosus (pineapple). RNAcentral's name for it is "long non-coding RNA (ACOM_LNC013466)". Lineage: Eukaryota; Viridiplantae; Streptophyta; Magnoliopsida; Poales; Bromeliaceae. The record is from RNAcentral.